Molecule: ribosomal RNA, 976 nt
Filed under: human gut metagenome
Description: bacterial LSU rRNA
Rfam family: Bacterial large subunit ribosomal RNA
Source: RNAcentral
CCUAAGGUAGCGAAAUUCCUUGUCAGGUAAGUUCUGACCCGCACGAAUGGCGUAACGAUUUGGGCACUGUCUCAACAGCCCGCCCGGCGAAAUUGUAGUACCGGUGAAGAUGCCGGUUACCCGCAACUAGACGGAAAGACCCCAUGGAGCUUUACUGCAGCUUAAUACUGAGAUUCGGUAAUUCAUGUACAGGAUAGGUGGGAGACUUAGAAGCAGAGUCGUUAGGCGCUGUGGAGUCACCCUUGGGAUACCACCCUUGGAUUGCUGGGUUUCUAACCUGCGGCCAUGAAUCUGGUCGGGGGACACUGUUAGGCGGGCAGUUUGACUGGGGCGGUCGCCUCCUAAAGUGUAGCGGAGGCGCUCAAAGCUUGGCUCAGCAUGGAUGGAAAUCAUGCAAUGAGUGUAAACGUAUAAGCCAAGUUGACUGCGAGACCGACGGGUCGAGCAGGUACGAAAGUAGGAGUUAGUGAUCCGGUGGUAUGUGAGUGGAAAUGCCAUCGCUCAACGGAUAAAAGCUACCCUGGGGAUAACAGGCUGAUCUCCCCCAAGCGUCCACAGCGACGGGGAGGUUUGGCACCUCGAUGUCGGCUCGUCGCAUCCUGGGGCUGUAUUCGGUCCCAAGGGUUUGGCUGUUCGCCAAUUAAAGCGGCACGCGAGCUGGGUUCAGAACGUCGUGAGACAGUUCGGUCCCUAUCUGUUGCGGGCGUAAGAGAUUUGAAGGGAGCUGUCCUUAGUACGAGAGGACCGGGAUGGACUGACCGCUGGUGCACCAGUUGUUCUGCCAAGAGCAUAGCUGGGUAGCUACGUCGGGACGAGAUAAACGCUGAAGGCAUCUAAGCGUGAAACUCCCCCUAAGAUAAGAUCUCUCAUCCUUUAUGGAGUAAGGCUCGUCGUAGACUAUGACGUUGAUAGGUCAGAGGUGGAAGCGCCGUAAGGUGUGUAGCUGACUGAUACUAAUAAGCCGAGGGCUUGACCU